RNAcentral lists this ribosomal RNA (437 nucleotides) under uncultured Oscillospiraceae bacterium. RNAcentral describes it as "partial 16S ribosomal RNA". It matches the Rfam family "Bacterial small subunit ribosomal RNA", at positions 341 to 792 of the family's 1533-position model. The record is from RNAcentral. Lineage: Bacteria; Bacillati; Bacillota; Clostridia; Eubacteriales; Oscillospiraceae.
ACGGGAGGCAGCAGUGGGGAAUAUUGGGCAAUGGGCGAAAGCCUGACCCAGCAACGCCGCGUGAAGGAAGAAGGUCUUCGGAUUGUAAACUUCUUUUAUGAGGGACGAAGGACGUGACGGUACCUCAUGAAUAAGCUACGGCUAACUACGUGCCAGCAGCCGCGGUAAUACGUAGGUAGCGAGCGUUAUCCGGAUUUACUGGGUGUAAGGGGCGCGUAGGCGGGGAAGCAAGUCAGGUGUGAAAUCUAUGGGCUUAACCCAUAAACUGCACUUGAAACUGUCGUUCUUGAGUGCUGGAGAGGUAGGCGGAAUUCCUAGUGUAGCGGUGAAAUGCGUAGAUAUUAGGAAGAACACCAGUGGCGAAGGCGGUCUACUGGACAGUAACUGACGCUGAGGCGCGAAAGCGUGGGGAGCAAACAGGAUUAGAUACCCUGGUA